Bos taurus (domestic cattle) is the source of this 2755-nucleotide long non-coding RNA. The record is from Ensembl. NCBI's taxonomy places the organism in Eukaryota, Metazoa, Chordata, Mammalia, Artiodactyla, Bovidae.
ACCAUUGGCAGUGAUGACAUCACUACUGGCAGUGAUGACAAUAAUAACCAAAGCACCACUGUUUGCGUACCCACCAUGAACCAGGCACUUGCUCUGAUCGUCUGCAUCCUUGUUACUAAAAUCACCUGGAAGCUAAUUACAAAUAAAGGCACUCAGGCCCUACCCCAGCCUUGCUGAGUCAGAAUCUCCAUUUUUCACAAGGUCCUCAGGCUGCCCCUCAGAAGGACACAGGAGGCUCCCUGCAAGCAGGAGGAGUUACUCGAGGCUUGCUCUGGACCUCAGCCUUGCCCCUUUCUCCUGCACCCCAAGUGGGGCUUCCCUGAACUUGGGCACAGCAGCCCCUUGAGGGAGGCGCUUGGGAGGGCAGUGCUCAGAGGGAAACAAGGAUGCUCUCUCACCUGCUGCUCCAGCUUGGUCCUCCUGACACUCAUAGGCAGCCAAAGACAUUCUCUCCCCUGCCCAGGAAUGUGGCACCCACUCCCUCCUUCAGGAACCCCACGAAGCCACGCGGCCUAUGCCAGCAGCAUCUUGGCCCGUGGGGCUGUGGCCCACGCCGUGUCUCAUUCCAAACUCCUCAAUCUCUCCCAUUAGCUGAGAUUGCAGGUUCAGAGCACAAACAUCGCCACCUGUCACUGCAGCCGCAACUCCUCCGCCAGCCGGGAAUGGUCUCGUCUCCUUCAAUCCAUCACGGAGGGUUUCUAUCGCUCUCCCUCUGUGAGCCCUUCCCCCAGCGCCUGGCCCAGGGGAGUUGCUUCGCUGCCAGGUGGGAGGAGAGAGGCGGCAGGAAGCCCAGGGCAGGGACCUCUCAGGCCUUGAGCCUGGUAGUACCUGGAGAACCCAGCCCCGACCAGAGAGCACACCUGCUUCAGACCCAGAGGAAGCAAAUGAGGUGGUGGGAACAGAGGGGUUAGUUGCUCAGUUGUGUCCGACUCUGCAACCCCAUGGACUGUAGCCAGCCAGGCUCCUCUGUCCAUGGGGAUUCUCCAGGCCAGAAUACUGGAGUGGGUUGCUAUGCCUUCCUUCCGGGGAUCUUCCUGAUCCAGGGAUUGAACCUGAGUCUCCUGCAUUGCGGGCAGACUCUUUACCAUCUGAGCCAGCGAAGCCCCCAGCAGGAGCAGAGGGCUUCCCUAACACUCCCCAGGCGUGGGAUGUACACUUGCUGCCCUUGGAGAUGAAGUCACUGUAAUCUGGGGGCCUCAUCCCUGGGCUUUCUGACUCCGGGUAUCUGGGGCAGAGCCUGAGAACCUGCAUUUUUUAACAGAGCUGCUCCAUGUGAUUCUGAGGCCAUAGGUCCCUGGAUCCCAACGUUGAGCAACUUGGUUGAUGGAGCCUCUUAUCAGUAGGUUAGGCCGGAUGGUGCUGUUGUAACAAACAACCCCCACACCCUCAGGGGCUUAAUACUAUAACGAUUCAUUUCUUGCAUCUCCAUGCCCAAAGCUAGCUGGCUGGAGGUUUCUUUCACUGAGGUUAUUCAGAAACCCAUCUGAGGAAACUCGUCUAGACCAGAUUUCUGUGAUUGCGGUGAGGAGCACAGCUGGGGGGUCCAGCGGACAAGUGCUCAAGCCUGAAAGUGACACAGAGCACUCCUGCCCACAACCCACUGGCCAGAACUAAUGCUAGCUAGCACCCUGCCCAGCUUUGAGAGGAUGGGGAGAAGUAACCACCCCCCGCCACGUGUGCCAGGGGAGAGAGAGAGGAGUGGGAUACGGGGGAACCAUCUGGGCAUUCCCCCUGGACGGCACUGAGGCUGAAAGCCCAGCCCCCGCCUCUGACGCCUGACCCACUGGCUGCAGCCCAGAAGACACGAAGGAAAGCACGAGAGAUGAAGACAUGGAGGCACAUAUGGGGAAAGUACCAGAGCCAAGAUUCAAGUCAAGAUCAGUGUCAUCCAAAGCCCACCCCUUUCUAUUGUGCCUCACCCUCCCUCAGCCUGGACCUCACCAGGGGACUUCUCAGGACACUGUUGAAGAACUUGACAGGAAGACCCUCAAAGGUCCUGAUGUCUGAGUCUUCUCUACAACAUCCAGCUUCAGGAGGGAUGCCUCCAAUGGCAGAAACCCACUGCCUCUAUCACCACAUCCCAUUCCAAUCUGUAGCAUCCAUUAGUCACAGAAAAUUCCUCUUUAUGCUAAGCUGUCAUCUGCCUCCAAUGAACUUUGAACUAUCAAGUCUGGCUUUCUUCCUAGAGUCAUAUGAGAUAACUCCAUGGAGCCUUCUUACGAUAUCUUUGACGAUUAAAAACUCUUCUAAGAAAGCUCCUGCAACUUGCAGAGGGAUUCCCUCUGGUUAUUGCAUGAGAACUGGUCAGAACAUGUGUGAGAAGCUACUAGAGGUUGAGAAAGAACCACUGCAAAGCAGUAAGUCCAACAGCUUCUCAACUUCACACCCGACUGGAACUAGUUUGUGUUCCUGCCAGCCCCAAUGGAAAGACCUCAUAAUAAACUGGGCGUGGGGUAAAAUCCCUGGAAGUGGGGACAUGUUAGAUCUAGAUGACAGACUAUUCUGGAUCAGCAUAAUAAAGCACAGAAGUGAUGACACCUCCUGGAUGAAUGAUUGCAGGGAAGAAAAGGGGAGUUGAGGACCAGGGUCAGGGCUUGAAGUAUAGCUUCCUGUUCACUACACACCUUUUUUCACUGUUUGGAAUUUUUUUUUUUUUUUUUUUGGCUUUGUCCACCUCACAAAGCCUCCAAAAAUUAUGAGCAGCACAGCCUAUAUUUCUUCCGAGGCUUGGAAUUUUUACUGUGUGUAUAUAUUC